Molecule: long non-coding RNA, 336 nt
Organism: Colias croceus (clouded yellow)
Lineage: Eukaryota; Metazoa; Arthropoda; Insecta; Lepidoptera; Pieridae
Exons: 2
Source: RefSeq, a predicted model, not a curated record
UGGCGGGAACUCUUUUUCGUCCUCGGAGGACGAGAGAAGUUAUGGUUCGUCACUGCCCAAGAGACCGGGAGACGAGAAAUUCCCGUUGCAGUUUACUGCUUGCUGAUGAAGAUGCUAUGGAGCUUGGAAGAUGACAGCGCUUCAAAGGCGAUGAUGACAGAUGUCAUACUAGGGACGCGCUCUUGCUAGUGAGGUGAAAGAUCCAUCGAUAUUUGGUAAGGUGACCCAAUUUGCAUAGAGAUAUAUAGGAUUCAUAGACUGCUUUCUUCAUCCAACGCUGUGUGUUUUAUUCGACACAUAAUACAUGUUUUGUUUUAAUGCAAAACAUCAAUAUUA